Molecule: ribosomal RNA, 253 nt
Filed under: uncultured bacterium
Lineage: Bacteria
Description: partial 16S ribosomal RNA
Rfam family: Bacterial small subunit ribosomal RNA
Source: RNAcentral
UACGAAGGGUGCAAGCGUUGUUCGGAAUUACUGGGCGUAAAGGGCGCGUAGGCGGCCGUUUGCGUCGGAUGUGAAAGCCCGGGGCUCAACCUCGGAACGGCAUUCGAUACGGGACGGCUGGAGACCGGGAGAGGAGAGUGGAAUAGCCAGUGUAGGGGUGAAAUGCGUAGAUAUCUGGAGGAACACCGGUGGCGAAGGCGGCAUCCUGGACCAACACUGACACUGAGGAGCGAAAGCCAGGGGAGCAAACGGG